Molecule: transfer RNA, 72 nt
Filed under: Rattus norvegicus (Norway rat)
Lineage: Eukaryota; Metazoa; Chordata; Mammalia; Rodentia; Muridae
Rfam family: tRNA
About the family: Transfer RNA (tRNA) molecules are approximately 80 nucleotides in length. Their secondary structure includes four short double-helical elements and three loops (D, anti-codon, and T loops).
Source: Rfam by way of RNAcentral
GGGGAUUUAGCUCAGUGGUGGUAGAGCGCUUGCCUAGGAAGCACAAGGCCCUGGGUUCGGUCCCCAGCUCCG